RNAcentral lists this transfer RNA (67 nucleotides) under Dynomene pilumnoides. RNAcentral describes it as "tRNA-Trp". The record is from RNAcentral. Lineage: Eukaryota; Metazoa; Arthropoda; Malacostraca; Decapoda; Dynomenidae.
AAGAUUUUAAGUUAUUUAAACUAGUGACCUUCAAAGUCACCAUUAAAAGAUUCCCUUUUAAAUCUUA